AGUCGAACGGGGACUUCGGUCCUAGUGGCGAACGGUCGCGUAACACGUAAGCAACCUGCCCUGAAGUGGGGGACAACAUCCCGAAAGGGGUGCUAAUACCGCAUGUGGUCACGAGUCGGCAUCGGCUUGUGUCUAAAGAUUUAUCGCUUCAGGAUGGGCUUGCGGCCUAUCAGGUAGUUGGUGGGGUAAUGGCCUACCAAGCCGACGACGGGUAGCUGGUCUGAGAGGACGAUCAGCCGGAUUGGGACUGAGAUACGGCCCAGACUCCUACGGGGGGCAGCAAUUAGGAAUCUUGCGCAAUGGGGGCAACCCUGACGCAGCGACGUCGCGUGAAGGAUGAAGGCCUUCGGGUCGUAAACUUCUUUUGAGUGGGAAGAAAUUUGACGGUACCACUCGAAUAAGCCCCGGCUAACUACGUGCCAGCAGCCGCGGUAAUACGUAGGGGGCGAGCGUUGUCCGAAGUUACUGGGCGUAAAGCGCGCGUAGGCGGUUAUUCAAGUCUGGGGUGAAAGGUUCAGCGCUCAACGUGAACAGUGCCUUGGAUACUGGAUGACUUGAGUCUGGGAGGGGGAAGGGGGAAUUCCUGGUGUAGCGGUGAAAUGCGUAGAUAUCAGGAGGAACACCGGUGGCGAAGGCGCCUUCCUGG
This 646-nucleotide ribosomal RNA is filed under the name uncultured Acidobacteriota bacterium. RNAcentral's name for it is "bacterial SSU rRNA". It matches the Rfam family "Bacterial small subunit ribosomal RNA", at positions 60 to 732 of the family's 1533-position model. The record is from RNAcentral. Lineage: Bacteria; Pseudomonadati; Acidobacteriota.